RNAcentral lists this unclassified non-coding RNA (434 nucleotides) under Hevea brasiliensis (rubber tree). The record is from RNAcentral. Lineage: Eukaryota; Viridiplantae; Streptophyta; Magnoliopsida; Malpighiales; Euphorbiaceae.
GCUGUUCACUAAUGCUGUUCAAAGGUUGGUGGAAUAUAUAUUAGUUUAUAAAUAAAUUUUUUCCCGUACUUUUAUAAAUAAAUUAAUUUUGGUUAUUUAUUACAUUAUUCAUUGAUGAAGCCAAUAAAUUAUAUCUAUUAAUUACAAAAACAAAAAUUUAAGAGUAAAACAGAUUAAAAAUGAAAGAAAUAAAAAUUUUGAAAGUAAUAAACUAAAAUAAAAUGUCGAAAAUGCACAUAAAUAUUCAUAUACAUUCAUGAGGUUAUUUUUUUUUAUAAGUAAGAAAUUUUAUUAAAUAAAAUCAAAAUCAGAUAAAUUUUAAAUUGAAGUUAUUUAACCUUGAAGAAAAUAGGGAAUAAGUGAAAUUCACAUCAAUUUUUUUUAUGAAAGUAACUUGACAAAAGCCCGUAGUGAUUGAUAAAUUUGAAUGGUUG